GACGAACGCUGGCGGCGUGCUUAACACAUGCAAGUCGAGCGAUGAAGUUCCCUUCGGGGACCGGAUUAGCGGCGGACGGGUGAGUAACACGUGGGUAACCUGCCUCAAAGAGGGGGAUAGCCUCCCGAAAGGGAGAUUAAUACCGCAUAAUAUCUUUUUAAUGCAUGUUAGAAAGAUUAAAUGAGCAAUCCGCUUUGAGAUGGACCCGCGGCGCAUUAGCUAGUUGGUGAGGUAACGGCUCACCAAGGCGACGAUGCGUAGCCGACCUGAGAGGGUGAUCGGCCACAUUGGGACUGAGACACGGCCCAGACUCCUACGGGAGGCAGCAGUGGGGAAUAUUGCGCAAUGGGGGAAACCCUGACGCAGCAACGCCGCGUGAGUGAUGAAGGUCUUCGGAUCGUAAAGCUCUGUCUUCAGGGACGAUAAUGACGGUACCUGAGGAGGAAGCCACGGCUAACUACGUG
Molecule: ribosomal RNA, 464 nt
Filed under: uncultured bacterium
Lineage: Bacteria
Description: partial 16S ribosomal RNA
Rfam family: Bacterial small subunit ribosomal RNA
Source: RNAcentral